This 371-nucleotide ribosomal RNA is filed under the name uncultured organism. RNAcentral describes it as "bacterial SSU rRNA". It matches the Rfam family "Bacterial small subunit ribosomal RNA", at positions 526 to 896 of the family's 1533-position model. The record is from RNAcentral.
CGUAGGGUGCAAGCGUUAAUCGGAAUUACUGGGCGUAAAGCGUGCGCAGGCGGUUGUGUAAGACAGAUGUGAAAUGCCCGGGCUUAACCUGGGAACUGCAUUUGUGACUGCACGGCUAGAGUUUGGCAGAGGGGGGUAGAAUUCCACGUGUAGCAGUGAAAUGCGUAGAUAUGUGGAGGAAUACCGAUGGCGAAGGCAGCCCCCUGGGUCAAGACUGACGCUCAUGCACGAAAGCGUGGGGAGCAAACAGGAUUAGAUACCCUGGUAGUCCACGCCCUAAACGAUGUCUACUAGUUGUCGGGUCUUAAUUGACUUGGUAACGCAGCUAACGCGUGAAGUAGACCGCCUGGGGGAGUACGGUCGCAAGAUUA